UGCAGUCGAGCGGUAACAGGAGAAGCUUGCUUCUCGCUGACGAGCGGCGGACGGGUGAGUAAUACUUAGGAAUCUACCUAGUAGUGGGGGAUAGCACGGGGAAACUCGUAUUAAUACCGCAUACGACCUACGGGAGAAAGGGGGCAGUUUACUGCUCUCGCUAUUAGAUGAGCCUAAGUCGGAUUAGCUAGAUGGUGGGGUAAAGGCCUACCAUGGCGACGAUCUGUAGCUGGUCUGAGAGGAUGAUCAGCCACACCGGGACUGAGACACGGCCCGGACUCCUACGGGAGGCAGCAGUGGGGAAUAUUGGACAAUGGGGGAAACCCUGAUCCAGCCAUGCCGCGUGUGUGAAGAAGGCCUUUUGGUUGUAAAGCACUUUAAGCAGUGAAGAAGACUCCGUGGUUAAUACCCACGGACGAUGACAUUAGCUGCAGAAUAAGCACCGGCUAACUCUGUGCCAGCAGCCGCGGUAAUACAGAGGGUGCAAGCGUUAAUCGGAAUUACUGGGCGUAAAGGGAGCGUAGGUGGCUCUAUAAGUCAGAUGUGAAAUCCCCGGGCUUAACCUGGGAACUGCAUCUGAAACUGUAGAGCUAGAGUAUGUGAGAGGAAGGUAGAAUUCCAGGUGUAGCGGUGAAAUGCGUAGAGAUCUGGAGGAAUACCGAUGGCGAAGGCAGCCUUCUGGCAUAAUACUGACACUGAGGCUCGAAAGCGUGGGUAGCAAACAGGAUUAGAUACCCUGGUAGUCCACGCCGUAAACGAUGUCUACUAGUCGUUGGGUCCCUUGAGGACUUAGUGACGCAGCUAACGCAAUAAGUAGACCGCCUGGGGAGUACGGCCGCAAGGUUAAAACUCAAAUGAAUUGACGGGGGCCCGCACAAGCGGUGGAGCAUGUGGUUUAAUUCGAUGCANGCGAAGAACCUUACCUG
RNAcentral lists this ribosomal RNA (926 nucleotides) under Psychrobacter cibarius. RNAcentral describes it as "bacterial SSU rRNA". It matches the Rfam family "Bacterial small subunit ribosomal RNA", at positions 56 to 977 of the family's 1533-position model. Lineage: Bacteria; Pseudomonadati; Pseudomonadota; Gammaproteobacteria; Moraxellales; Moraxellaceae. The record is from RNAcentral.